UAGUGGUGUACUGAUAAAUUGGCUUUUAAGUUAAAGUUAUAACGUUCUUAUACUUUUAUGUUCCAAAACAAAAUAUUCCCUGCACUUCAUAACAAUACAUAUAAAUUAACAUAAUUGUAAUACAAUUUUAAAACAUGGUUGAUAUCAAAUAUUAUACAACAAUUUUAUCUCAAACGUUUUCUCCUUGUGGGAACUAUUUGAUUACCGGUAAUAAUUAUGGAAUUUUAACCGUCUACAAUCUAAAAAAUGAAUUGCAGUCGGGAAACGACUUCAAAGAUCAAAAUUUGUCAGUUGGCGGUCGAUCUUAUGAAUUUGAGAUGAUACGUAAAAUGCAAAUAAACAGCAUGGAAUCUGGCGAAAAAUUUUUAAUAAUUGGUGGUGUUGGACUCAUUGUAGGAGUGGAUUGGGAUACCAUUAUCGACAAUAAUUUUGGCGAAAACUCAAAAGUCGAACCCCUCAGUAUUAGUUGGAGUAUUAAUAUUCCAUCGCCCAAGGAUUCAAUGUUAACUAUAGACGUAAAUUGUUUAAUAUUAAACAAAGAGGAUAAUGUCUUAUAUGCAGGUUGUGGCGACAAUACUGUUUAUGCCUUUAAUUUAGAAUGUGGUGAUGUUAUGCAGAAAUUAGAAGGGCACAGUGAUUUUAUUCAUUCCAUUGAUAAAUUAGAUGAUACAAUUGUCUCAGCUAGUGAAGAUGGAUCUGUCAUGUUUUGGGAUGUUCGUUCUAAAGAUUAUUCAUCAAAAAUCAUUCCCAGCAGUAAUCCAGAAAUCAAACGACCCAAUCUUGGAAAUUGGAUUGGAUCUGUUACAAUCACUAAAGAUUGGAUGUUAUGUGGUGGUGGAACAAAACUGUCAUUAUGGAAUCGUUCUAUGGCUGCCCCAAUGACAGUAUACAAUUGUGUUGAAGAUUCUGGAAUACAUGUUACUAAACUUAUGGAUGAAACAUUAUAUGCCGGAGGAUGCUCAAAAUAUUUUUAUCAGUUAUCAUUUACGGAUGAAAUUUUGUGUAAAAUUGAAACCAGUCCAGUGACUGUUUUCAGUUGUGUUAACCAAGAAAAUCCGUUCAAAGUGAGUUUUUAUAUUUUUUUUUAAAUAAUAAUUAUUUUGUUAGAACUAAAAACAAUACAAUUGAGAGCACCUACAACCACGGAUCAUAAAUACUAUACUCCGGCCUACAAGAGUGCAUUACCAAAACGCAUCCGAUUCCGCACAUCCCCCACUCAACGACAAUGGUUCGUUAAUGUUUGGUACGUUUGGCAACACCCAUCGCUAUAAUUUAUAUAUAUGUAUACAACCUAUACCAUCGAGGCAAAAAAAAUGGAGGAAAUUGUGCUUCGUACUGGUCACUGCCGUCAAAAACGGUAACAUGUCUUGCAGGUUCAAGCUAUAAAAUAGAUAUUUGCACAAAUUUAAAUUACAAAAUGACUACACUUGGAAUCUAAAUUAAAUAUGUUUAUUUCUGAAGUACUAAAUUUCGGUAAAAUAUUGAACUGUAAAAGAUUUUUUUCAACAUUAUAACAAUCAUAAUAGUUAGUAGGUACUUACUGUUUGCACACUUGUAUGUAUCUACUUAUUCCAUAUAUUUAAGUAGAAAUUGAUAAAAUAUAUAAUAUCCUUGGUAUAUGUCUA
RNAcentral lists this unclassified non-coding RNA (1625 nucleotides) under Acyrthosiphon pisum (pea aphid). RNAcentral's name for it is "tHO complex subunit 6, transcript variant X2". The record is from RNAcentral. Lineage: Eukaryota; Metazoa; Arthropoda; Insecta; Hemiptera; Aphididae.